RNAcentral lists this ribosomal RNA (679 nucleotides) under uncultured Actinomycetes bacterium. RNAcentral's name for it is "bacterial SSU rRNA". It matches the Rfam family "Bacterial small subunit ribosomal RNA", at positions 8 to 703 of the family's 1533-position model. Lineage: Bacteria; Bacillati; Actinomycetota; Actinomycetes. The record is from RNAcentral.
AGAGUUUGAUCCUGGCUCAAGACGAACGCUGGCGGCGUGCUUUACACAUGCAAGUCGAGCGAUGAGAUCCCUUCGGGGAAGGAUUAGCGGCGAACGGGUGAGGAACACGUGAGGAAUCUGCCUUCAACACUGGGAUAACUCCGGGAAACCGGGGCUAAUACCGGAUACGAGACCUGCAGGCAUCUGCGGGUCUGGAAAGUUUUUCGGUUGAAGAUGACCUCGCGGCCUAUCAGCUUGUUGGUGAGGUAAUGGCUCACCAAGGCGACGACGGGUAGCCGGCCUGAGAGGGCGACCGGCCACACUGGGACUGAGACACGGCCCAGACUCCUACGGGAGGCAGCAGUGGGGAAUAUUGGGCAAUGGAGGGAACUCUGACCCAGCGACGCCGCGUGCGGGAUGAAGGCCUUCGGGUUGUAAACCGCUUUCAGCAAGGAAGAAGCGAAAGUGACGGUACUUGCAGAAGAAGCACCGGCUAACUAUGUGCCAGCAGCCGCGGUAAUACAUAGGGUGCAAGCGUUGUCCGGAAUUAUUGGGCGUAAAGAGCUCGUAGGUGGUUCGUCACGUCGGAUGUGAAAAUCUGGGGCUUAACCCCAGACCUGCAUUCGAUACGGGCGAGCUAGAGUGUGGUAGGGGAGACUGGAAUUCCUGGUGUAGCGGUGGAAUGCGCAGAUAUCAGGAG